RNAcentral lists this non-coding RNA (28 nucleotides) under Bombyx mori (domestic silkworm). Lineage: Eukaryota; Metazoa; Arthropoda; Insecta; Lepidoptera; Bombycidae. The record is from RNAcentral.
UAGACAUCAUUCCGCAUCCAAUGAGCUA